This is an RNA transcript of Amborella trichopoda, 2348 nucleotides long. It is a transcript of the gene named protein EXECUTER 2, chloroplastic, with no coding region annotated. The record is from RefSeq and is a predicted model, not a curated record. Lineage: Eukaryota; Viridiplantae; Streptophyta; Magnoliopsida; Amborellales; Amborellaceae.
UUUUAAUGACAACAGAGCGGGGGGAGAGGGAAGAUUUUGUCCGAGAACAAUUUGAUUAAUCAUUUUCAAACUCUUCAGAUUUUCAUGUUCCAGUGCUAGAAUUCAUUAGAGAGAGAAGAGAUAAGAUGAUGGCGGUUGCGACGACAGGGGGACUCAUAAUUCCAUGGUUUUACAGUAAGCAGUGCAGCUACCACACCAACAAUGGAGGAAAACCACCCAGUUUUAAAGCCCCAGUUUCUUCAUUGAAGCAGCAGAUUAAAAACAAUAACAAUGGUGGCAAUAGUCUCAUUUGCAGGUGCAAUAAUGGCACAUCAUCACAAAACGCCGCCCAAGAGUCGGAUUGGAGCUCAUGGCAACGCCAUUUCUCUCAGAUAGACCAGGAUGAGAACUACUCUUCACUCCUCAAGUUUCAACUUGAAGAGGCAGUUGAAAAUGAAGAUUUUUAUGAAGCUUCACAAGUGAAGAAAGCCUUAGAGGAAGUAGCAUCCAAGGAUGUUGUUGCUGAAGUAAUGUCACAACUGGAGAAGUCUAUAAUGGAAGAGCGCUACCAUGAUGCCUCAUUGAUUUGCAGAACUACAGGGAGCGGGCUGGUUGGCUGGUGGGUUGGCUGGUCAGAAGGUUUUGAUGAUCCUCUAGGCAAAAUUGUUCAAAUUACACCAGCUGUAGGUAGAUUUGUUGCCAGGAGCUUUAGUCCAAGGCAACUGACUACUGUAUCUUCUGGUACUCCUCUAUUUGAAAUCUUUGUUGUAAAAGAUGCUAUUGAAGGAUACAAAAUGCAGGCAGUCUAUUUGCAGCCACCCAAGGGAAGCUCCUCUCAAUCUACAUCCUCAUCAUUGAAAUCUUCAGAUGUUGCUUCUACGCCCGACUCUCAAAAGUUGUCUGAAGAAGAUAAAAUGAAUGAAUUUAGCUCUGAAAAAGUUGAUGGGAAGCAGAAUGAUAUCAAAGAUGUCACUGAGGAAGGAUUGAGAAGUUUUAUAAAUUUCCUUAAAGAUAGGAUACCGAGUUUAAAAGUUAAAGUUCUGACUAAUAUCUCACCAGUGGAUGUCAAAAAAGGUAUCAACUUGGUUGAGCAAUUACAGGGAGAUGAUGGGAAUGGCGAUUCUGUUGAAAGCUCUGACGAUGACGAUGGAAGCUCAAGUGAUUUUCAGGAUGAGGAAGUGCUAGCUGGAGGGGAUGGUGAUUUAGGGAGUGAUGGGAAAGAUAUGAAUGUAAAACUUGUAAUUGGUGGGGUUUUGCAAACUGAUGAGGAAAGCUCAUCGAAGGCGCCUACACGUGUGCCCGCUCAAAUUAAAGACAUAGAAAGAGACUCUUUUGUGCUUUGUAUUCCUGGGAAUGGAGAAUCAGGUGCAGGUUGGGGCAAGGCUUCAAAACUUGAAUUGGCUCAAAUAGCUGCUCAAGCGGCUUCAGAACUUAUGCCCCCUGAUGUUGCUAAAGCAUUUCUGAGGAUGGAUAAAGCUUUUCCUAAGGUAUCUAGAAAUCUCCGUGAGAUUGUGAAGUAUGCAAUUGUUCAAGCUCAAAGACGAAACAUAUUGUCUCCGACAACCAUGUUCCAUCGCAUAAAAAAUGGCAAUGAGAGCACAGAUCCACUUGAUGGCUUAUAUGUUGGAGCAUUUGGCCCAUUUGAGUCUGAGGUGGUCCAGUUAAGGUGUAAGGUUGGUCCUUGGCCUCGCCUGGAUGAGAACGACGAGAGUUUCUCAAAUUUUGAAUUUUGCCAGUAUGUCGAAGCUGUAAAGUUGACUGGUGACCUUAAUGUCCCUGCUGGACAGGUCACUUUUCUUGCUAAAGUUGGCCAAGAGAAUCGUCUAGUUAACAAUGGAAGCUAUCCAGAGGAGUUAGGCGUGGUUAUGAGAUACAAAGGUCGGGGAAGGAUAGCAGAACCGGGAUUUCAGAAUCCUCGAUGGGUUGAUGGUGAGCUGCUACUUUUUAAUGGCAAGGGUAUGGGACCUUUGAGUGGCGCAGAGCUUGGAUUUCUCUAUGCAGUUCCAAAGCAAAGCUUACUUGUACUCUUUGAUCGUUUGAUACUCCCUGAAUGACGUUUGACUUAAUUGUCCACAAUGCCUUGACAACGGAAGAACGGUCCAAUUAAUUGCAAUAUUUUUGGCAAGGAUCAAGGUCUCUGUUGAUGGUGAGAUUUAUUACCAUGCUAUCAUCCAAUGCCAUGAGUCGGAUGGUGUUAAAAAGAGGUGCUUUCGUGCUUUCUUGUAAAUGAGCAGUUUUGAAGAUUCACGAGAGAGAGAAACUGACACUUUGUACGGCAAGGUGGUUUCCAAAAUUUUGGAUAAAAAAAAUGUCCCCGAGUUGGUCUUUUACCUGACAGAGUAAAUGUGCGGUCUUAGAAAAACAUUCAA